GCAUCUGGCAAAAGCUGCCCAUGAUAAUUUGAAUGUACAAAACAUUGAUUACAACUCAUGAUUAGUGACACAAAGAAGACAAGCAGUAAUGUCUUACGCCUUUGAAUAUCCAAAUCAUUAUAAAAGCACAUCUGUAUCUCAUUAACAUGAUAAUUAAUUAACAAAUAAAUGCAAAAUCAUGGACAAAACACAAGAAAAUUGAGCAUAUUUUUGUUAGAUCUAUUAAAAAUGGUUUGAACUGUGUGACUCUAGUCAUGUUUUAGUUCAGAUACACAUGGCAAGGAAUCCAUUUUCUCACUAACCCAGAAAAGAAUUAACUCGUAUGAAUAUUCUUUCUUUUGCUUAUCUAACACAAGCAGGCUUUCAAUUAUUCAACUCCAAAUACCAAUUUUUCAGAAAAUUAUG
Molecule: unclassified non-coding RNA, 405 nt
Filed under: Hevea brasiliensis (rubber tree)
Lineage: Eukaryota; Viridiplantae; Streptophyta; Magnoliopsida; Malpighiales; Euphorbiaceae
Source: RNAcentral